GAUGAACGCUGGCGGCGUGCUUAACACAUGCAAGUCGAACGGAAAGGCCCUGCUUUUGUGGGGUGCUCGAGUGGCGAACGGGUGAGUAACACGUGAGUAACCCUCCCUUGACUUUGGGAUAACUUCAGGAAACUGGGGCUAAUACCGGAUAGGAGCUCCUGCUGCACGGUGGGGGUUGGAAAGUUUCGGCGGUUGGGGAUGGACUCGCGGCUUAUCAGCUUGUUGGUGGGGUAGUGGCUUACCAAGGCUUUGACGGGUAGCCGGCCUGAGAGGGUGACCGGCCACAUUGGGACUGAGAUACGGCCCAGACUCCUACGGGGGGCAGCGGUGGCGAAUAUUGCACAAUGGGCGGAAGCCUGAUGCAGCACCGCCGCGUGCGGGAUGACGGCCUUCGGGUUGUAAACCGCUUUCGCCUGUGACGAAGCGUGAGUGACGGUAAUGGGUAAAGAAGCACCGGCUAACUACGUG
This 468-nucleotide ribosomal RNA is filed under the name uncultured bacterium. RNAcentral's name for it is "partial 16S ribosomal RNA". It matches the Rfam family "Bacterial small subunit ribosomal RNA", at positions 28 to 507 of the family's 1533-position model. The record is from RNAcentral.